AAAUGUUAAGUCUGUCCAAGAACUUGAGUCAUGCUGUGGAAGGAUCAAGAUGUAGGACGUUUCAGAAAGCAUUUUCUGGUGUCCUCUGAUCAAGGCAAGGAGCUGCAUGUGCAGUUCUGUUGCUCAGAGCAAGCUGCUCCUUGCAGGUUUGGUCUGUUUCUCUGUCUCUGGUUUAUAAACGCCUGGGGAUGGAGAAUGCGGGCUCUCUGGAAGGUCCUGUGCUGGUACUGUGCACACGCUGCUCUGUGAACCCCUUACACACGUGGCUGGACAAACACCACCCUCACAUGCGGCAGCCUGUGCAGCAAAAGCAGCUGAUUUUAGUAACACAACUGUUUUUGCAGGUGCGGAAAAUUCCACAGUGAUUGCACAUCUCGGUUUCAGUUUUGGUUGAGAAGAACGUUUAAAAGUCUGAACACCCAAACACCCGUCCACAUGAAUCAUCAGGCAAAGAGAAUGCCCAAGGUGUUCCAUCUGCUGGGAGCUUGGGUCAUAGAUCUGAGAAUGCUCAUAAUCUCCAAAUUCUCUCUAAUGCACCAGUUCCAAGGUGUUGACAUUUUCAAUUCACAAGUUAUGUUUGAGCCUACUGUCCGAAGUUUCAGGAUAAAGUUAGCAGCUAAAAGUUAGGACACCUGUGUCUAGGGAUCGAUGACUCCUCCAAGUCUCCAGACCUCCCGGGACUCAUCUCUUGCUGCUGCUCGGGCAGGCCACUUGGUGUGCCAGUCAGUUGUGCUGUGUGGUCUGUGCUGUGGCCUGUGAGGUGUACGGCAUCAUCAGAUUGCCAUUCAGCAAGUGGUGCCCCCUGGGAAGGGCCGUGGAUCCUGGCCGGACCGCACUGCUGCUCAUCCUAAGCCCUAUCAGUGGCCAGAAAAGUCAAGGGCCUCCAAGUGUGUCAGGCAGAGUCAGCUGGUAAUGGAAAAGGAGUCUUUUUUCUCAUAAGAGAAAUCAACCCAAAUAAACUGGUUUUCCCUCCAAACUGACCUGAAUUCUGUUAUCUCUAAGGUUGAAGCUGGCGAAAGAGUUGGGCUUACAGAAAGUGGAGAGAUAGGUAAAUACCUAGGAGUGAGGUUGCUGGGCCUAGUAAGCAUCUAUUACAGACUGAACGUGAGGACAGAGAGAGGCAACCAUAUGUAAGCCGGAAAGACAGUUCUCACCAUAAAGCGACCAUGCUGGCACCUUGAUCUUGGACAUGAAGACUCCAGAACUAUGAGUCAUUCAUUGUACAAUCAUGCUAGGAAACUUCAAGUCUAUUAUUCAGAGCAGUUAAAAGAGCCUGUCCUUGGAAGCGAAGAUGUGGGUCUGAAUCUGGACUUAGCCGCUUACUACCUCUAUGUUCUUGGUGAUAAAGGUUGGUUGGAUGUCAGUGACGUGGGCAGCAUUGUGAGCCAUGUGUUGAGGAGUCUCAUGCAAUUGCUCUUUCAGCUGGAGUCCCCACAGGACUGUGCCGAGUGGAGGUUUGUGUCAACUGGAUGCUACAUGA
Molecule: long non-coding RNA, 1480 nt
Organism: Canis lupus familiaris (dog)
Lineage: Eukaryota; Metazoa; Chordata; Mammalia; Carnivora; Canidae
Exons: 7
Source: RefSeq, a predicted model, not a curated record